UAGGGAAUUUUGCGCAAUGGGGGAAACCCUGACGCAGCGACGCCGCGUGAGUGAAGAAGGCCUUCGGGUUGUAAAGCUCUGUCAGGAGGGAUGAAUAAGUUUAGACUAACAAGCUAAGCGAUGACAGUACCUUCAGAGGAAGCACCGGCUAACUCUGUGCCAGCAGCCGCGGUAAUACAGAGGGUGCAAGCGUUAUUCGGAAUCACUGGGCGUAAAGCGCGUGUAGGCGGAUUAUCAAGUCGUGUGUGAAAGCCCGGGGCUCAACCUCGGAAAUGCGCACGAAACUGGUAGUCUAGAGUCUAGGAGAGGGAGGUGGAAUUCCAGGUGUAGAGGUAAAAUUCGUAGAUAUCUGGAGGAACAUCGGAGGCGAAGGCGGCUUCCUGGCCUAGAACUGACGCUGAGUAUGCGAGAGCGUGGGUAGCAAACA
RNAcentral lists this ribosomal RNA (427 nucleotides) under uncultured prokaryote. RNAcentral's name for it is "bacterial SSU rRNA". It matches the Rfam family "Bacterial small subunit ribosomal RNA", at positions 355 to 774 of the family's 1533-position model. The record is from RNAcentral.